RNAcentral lists this ribosomal RNA (307 nucleotides) under uncultured bacterium. RNAcentral's name for it is "bacterial SSU rRNA". It matches the Rfam family "Bacterial small subunit ribosomal RNA", at positions 29 to 324 of the family's 1533-position model. The record is from RNAcentral.
AAUGAACGCUGGCGGCGCGCCUAAUACAUGCAAGUCGAGCGAGAAGACGUAGCAAUACGUUUGUAAAGCGGCGAACGGGUGAGGAAUACAUGGGUAACCUACCCUAGAGGUGGGGAAUAACUAGACCGAAAGGUUAGCUAAUACCGCGUACGCUCCUUGGACUUCGGUUCGAGGGAGGAAAGCGAUGCCGAGGGUAUCGCGCUCUUGGAUGGGCUCAUGUCCUAUCAGCUUGUUGGUGAGGUAACGGCUCACCAAGGCUUCGACGGUAGCUGGUCUGAGAGGACGAUCAGCCACACUGGCACUGCGA